AGUGUGUUAAAACUCCGACUAAACACCAAGUUAAACCGGAGCCAAUGAAGACAGAGUCGUAAUACGCGGGUAUCAAGAUUCCUGAUGAAGGGUCUUGGUCCGAAAUGUUGAUUCCCAUCCAUAGAUGCUGCCUGACAUGCUGAAAGUCACGAAACAAAGAAAGAACACGAAAGACGUCCAGAGAGAAAAAUCAAACUCCCAGCCCACCCCCGUAUAAAAAAACGGCAUCCCGAUCAUCAACCCCCAAAACCCACCCCUCCCGCACAAAAGGGAACGAUAACAUCGACCCCCCCCCCAAAAAAAACAACCCUACCCCGCACAACUGCGGAGGAUCUGGUGUCACCAGUGUCGAGGCGGCCGCAUCGGGAGCAGCGGACACAACGGGCGACCCCGGAAGAUUCACAGGUGAAGUGUCGCCUCACCUGGAAGGAUGUUUGGACAACGGAGAGAGUUCGGCCGUCCGGCCCUUUCACUGUGACACCCCGAACUCCACAUCAAAUCCGUCCAAACGAAUCUGGGCGAACUUUAAUGACCAAUAAAUAUAAUUCCUCUCAGCGAUCAGCUGUCUGAGUGAUCCCCUGACUCUGAGAGGAAGGGGUGUCUAUGGUCCACAUUGUCAGGGUGUUGAGUUUACCAGGAGACAGAGA
Molecule: long non-coding RNA, 647 nt
Organism: Mobula hypostoma (lesser devil ray)
Lineage: Eukaryota; Metazoa; Chordata; Chondrichthyes; Myliobatiformes; Myliobatidae
Exons: 3
Source: RefSeq, a predicted model, not a curated record